RNAcentral lists this ribosomal RNA (496 nucleotides) under uncultured bacterium. RNAcentral describes it as "partial 16S ribosomal RNA". It matches the Rfam family "Bacterial small subunit ribosomal RNA", at positions 28 to 507 of the family's 1533-position model. The record is from RNAcentral.
GAUGAACGCUGGCGGCGUGCCUAAUACAUGCAAGUCGAGCGAACGGACGAGAAGCUUGCUUCUCUGAUGUUAGCGGCGGACGGGUGAGUAACACGUGGAUAACCUACCUAUAAGACUGGGAUAACUUCGGGAAACCGGAGCUAAUACCGGAUAAUAUUUUGAACCGCAUGGUUCAAAAGUGAAAGACGGUCUUGCUGUCACUUAUAGAUGGAUCCGCGCUGCAUUAGCUAGUUGGUAAGGUAACGGCUUACCAAGGCAACGAUGCAUAGCCGACCUGAGAGGGGAUCCGCCAACACUGAACUGAGACACGGUCCAGACUCCUACGGGAGGCAGCAGUAGGGAAUCUUCCGCAAUGGGCGAAAGCCUGACGGAGCAACGCCGCGUGAGUGAUGAAGGUCUUCGGAUCGUAAAACUCUGUUAUUAGGGAAGAACAUAUGUGUAAGUAACUGUGCACAUCUUGACGGUACCUAAUCAGAAAGCCACGGCUAACUACGUG